CAUCCUGGUGGCGAGUGGCGAACGGGUGAGUAAUAUAUCGGAACGUACCUUUCAGUGGGGGAUAACGUAGCGAAAGUUACGCUAAUACCGCAUAUUCUGUGAGCAGGAAAGCAGGGGAUCGCAAGACCUUGCGCUGAUUGAGCGGCCGAUAUCAGAUUAGCUAGUUGGUGAGGUAAAGGCUCACCAAGGCGACGAUCUGUAGCGGGUCUGAGAGGAUGAUCCGCCACACUGGAACUGAGACACGGUCCAGACUCCUACGGGAGGCGGCAGUGGGGAAUUUUGGACAAUGGGGGCAACCCUGAUCCAGCCAUGCCGCGUGAGUGAAGAAGGCCUUCGGGUUGUAAAGCUCUUUCAGCCGGGAAGAAAACGCAUGGGUUAUUACCCUGUGUGGAUGACGGUACCGGAAUAAGAAGCACCGGCUAACUACGUGCCAGCAGCCGCGGUAAUACGUAGGGUGCGAGCGUUAAUCGGAAUUACUGGGCGUAAAGCGUGCGCAGGCGGUUUGUUAAGAUAGGCGUGAAAUCCCCGGGCUCGACCUGGGAACUGCGUUUAUGACUGGCAGGCUAGAGUAUGGCAGAGGGGGGUGGAAUUCCACGUGUAGCAGUGAAAUGCGUAGAGAUGUGGAGGAACACCGAUGGCGAAGGCAGCCCCCUGGGCCAAUACUGACGCUCAUGCACGAAAGCGUGGGUAGCAAACAGGAUUAGAUACCCUGGUAGUCCACGCCCUAAACGAUGUCAACUAGGUGUUGGGAGGGUAAAACCUUUUAGUACCGGAGCUAACGCGUGAAGUUGACCGCCUGGGGAGUACGGCCGCAAGGUUAAAACUCAAAGGAAUAGACGGGGACCCGC
This 848-nucleotide ribosomal RNA is filed under the name uncultured bacterium. RNAcentral's name for it is "bacterial SSU rRNA". It matches the Rfam family "Bacterial small subunit ribosomal RNA", at positions 81 to 924 of the family's 1533-position model. The record is from RNAcentral.